RNAcentral lists this ribosomal RNA (1227 nucleotides) under Triticum aestivum (bread wheat). RNAcentral's name for it is "partial small subunit ribosomal RNA". Lineage: Eukaryota; Viridiplantae; Streptophyta; Magnoliopsida; Poales; Poaceae. The record is from RNAcentral.
AUGUGUGGCAUGAAAAGUGAGUACACAAAAGUGUUUGACUACCAACUAGAACUGCUAAGGAGCAACCCUGGCAGUACUGUGGCCAUUACAUUAGAUCCCACAGAGCUGUAGAAGAACAUUUUUCAACAGUUUUAUGUUUGUUUUGAUGCUAUGAAGAAAGGUUUUAAAGCAGGGUGUAGGAAAGUCAUAGGACUGGAUGGCUGCUUUUUCAAAGGAGCUUGUCAAGGUGAAUUGUUGGCUGCAAUUGCAAGGGAUGCAAAUAAUUAGAUGUGCCCAAUGGCUUGGGCUGUGGUGGAGAAAGAAACCAAUGAUACCUGGAAGUGGUUUAUUGCUCUGUUAAUCAAAGACUUGGAUAUUAAUGACCAAGGAGCAGGUUGGGUUUUCAUUUCUGAUCAGCAGAAGGGCUAGAUUAACAGCAUGAGUGACUAUUUGCCCAAGGCAGAGCACAGAAUGUGUGCCAGGCAUAUCUAUGCCAACUGGAGGAAGAAAUACAAGGACCAUGAGUACCAAAAGAGAUUUUGGGCAAUUGCUAAAGCUGCAAACAAAGAAGAUUUUAACUACAACAAGGCAAGGCUAGCUUAGCUAACUCCUGAUGGUGCAAAGGAUAUCAUGAGGACAGAACCAGUUCAUUGGGCUAGGGAAUUUUUUCCUACAGGAGCUAACUGUGAAUCUGUGGACAAUAAUCUUUGUGAGUCAUUUGACAAUGCCAUCAUAGAAUCAAGGUUCUACCCAAUUAUUUCACAGCAAGAAAUGAUAAGAAAGAAGAUGCUUGUUAGGGUGCAAGAGCAGAGAGCCAAAUCAGCAACAUGGAAGGGCAAAAUUUGCCCAAAUGUUUUCAAGAAGCUAAAGGUGAGUAUUAGAUUGACACAAUACAUUGAGGUACUCUGGAAUGGCAAGGAGGGAUUUGAUGUGCAGCACAUGAAGCGGAGAAAUAAGAAGUACACAGUAAAUCUUGAAAAGAGGGUAUGCACUUGUGGAUACUUUCAGCUGGCAGGCCACCCUUGCUGUCAUGCUAUUGCAACUAUUUACAAGAGUGGUAGAAAGGUAGAUGACUACAUAGACAAGUGCUACUGGAUUGAGACAUUCAAUAAGAUUUAUGAGCAUUGUCUCCAGCCUGUUCUAGGAGAAGAAAACUGGCCUAUGUCUCAAAACCCUAGGCCAGUUGCACCUGGAUACAUUGCCAUGCCAGGAGCAAGGAAGAAGAACAAUGACAGAAGAAGGGAAUAG